GUCCUUACCUAUCCACAGUUUAAAUAUGUAGGACCAGUGUUUCAGCAGUUAUUCAAUUAACAUCCCUUUGAUCAAACUCAUCUGGCAAAACAGCAAGUAUCUCCAUUUUCUCUGUACCCAGGCAUCGGGGUGCUACUAUGGAGGGGAACAACAAAGAUCACAACAGGCAAAUUAAACUUUAAAUUCUCAGUCCCAAAUAGGUGGGUCCUCCAUACCGUUCUGUCAUCCUGCUGUACAUUUGGUCACUUCAUUCUCCACAAAAACCAUUUUAAAACCUUUUUCAAAAGUCCAGUCUCCUUUGGUCUCUGACUUUAACGAGGAAACCGAAGCCUGCAUGUGCACCUAUCCCCUUCUCCUUCUUUCUAGAAUAGAAGCACCCCACCCCUUCCUUGCGAAAGCCAGCCAGUUUCUCCACAGGCGCUUUGGACCCCAUCCUCUUCCAACCUUGUAUGGAACCCAAAAGCGUCACUGAUUCCUUUUGGCUCUCUUAUCUUUAACUUCUCCCUCUUGCCCGGGUCCUUUUUAGAAAGUAAAGCAGUAGCUAAAACGGGAAAGGGAGACACAUUGUUGCUUCAUUCUCUCCUUUUCAUGUCCAAAAUUCAAAGUUUUGUAAGAUAGCUUCUUUCUGCCAUGUGCUGCUUCAGCUGCUGUGGAGGGAAUGUUUGCAAGCCACUGGUAUUUCCCGGUUAAAUUCAGUCGAUGCUUUUAAUCCCUCACUCUACUUGGUCUCUCAGCAGCAUUCCGUACUGUGCCGAAAAACUCCCUUCUUCCUUUACUCCUCCUGGUUUUCCUCUCAUCUCUUCAGCUACCACUUGUCAGUCUCCUUUGCCUUCUUACCUUCUGCCACUUAACUUUUGUAGAGUUCCUCUGGUUUUUCCCUCAGUUUUCUUUUCCUUGUACUCUACAGCAGGUUGGCAUAUUUUCUACUUUAAAGGGCCAUAAAGUAAAAUCAUUGGGCUUUGCAGGGUACAAAGUCUGCCUUUAGCAACUUCUCAACUCUGUUAUGGUAGCGUGAAAGCGGCCAUAAACAAGAAUUAGACUAAUGGGCAUGGCUUAUUCCAAAAGCCUCUGUUUACAAAAACAGACAGGCUGGAUUUUGCAUGUGGUGUGCCAGGCCAUAUUUUAUAUGCUUCCUAGUGAGGUACCCUUUCACGUGUCCCCAAAUCUGUAUAUCCAGCUACCUAACAUCCACAUCUAAGUGUCUCUAUAGCAUCUCAUGAAAGAUCUUAACCUAGAAAUUCUGCCCUUUCCCUCCAGAUCUGGUCUCUCUCCAGUGUCCUUAAUAAGAGGCACUGCCAUUCAGAUGGUUGCACAAGGCAGAAAAUAGAGGAGUACCUAAAAGAGGGUGGAAGAUGCUUAUUGCUUGGUUGCCCAGAAGAAUCAUGGCUGUUGCUGAUAAUUAUGACUGACAGUGAGCAAGGAAAGCCUGCCAGGCCUUCCCUUGUUCCUAGACAACAGACUCAACACUGAUUAAACUUACAACCCUGGAAUUUAAUAAAUUUCCUAGUCACUGAGUUUUGGACUUAGAACAACAACAAAAAAACAUAAAAAAAAAAGAAACCAAACCAGAAACAGAAGUUAAGUAUUGGCUUCUUGAUGAAUGCUCAAUGACGGAUUUAAAAACUCGGUGUAUAUUCCAGAAGUUACUGAUACACGUAAUCCAUUUGAUCGAUGCAAGGGUAACAACAGUCAACUGAGAAAACUGAAUUCCCUUUUAAGUCUGAGAAAGCCACUUUCGUCUCCCUAAGAAAUUGUCUGCCCUUGGUUUCCUUUGAAAAAUCGACAGAUGUAAUCUGUUGUGCCUAAGUGUUCCAUCAAGAUUGAGGUGCAUAACCUUUUCUUUCAUAAAGUUAAAUAUCAUCAAGGAA
Molecule: long non-coding RNA, 1868 nt
Organism: Neofelis nebulosa (Clouded leopard)
Lineage: Eukaryota; Metazoa; Chordata; Mammalia; Carnivora; Felidae
Exons: 2
Source: RefSeq, a predicted model, not a curated record